UUUGGACUCAAGACCAGACUCCUAAGUGGUGAUCUACAAGGCUCAGCAGCCUCAGGCCACCACUUGGUGAGCCACUGUGCCUGGCCAAAACUGAGCAUCUUUUGGUAUGCUUAAGAGCCAUUUGCUUUUUCCUCUUUUUGAUCUUUUUUUGACCAUUUUCCCGCUGAGUUGUUGGUCUUUUCUUUUCUUUUGAGACAGGGUCUCGCUCUGAUGCCCAGGCUGGAGUGCAGUGGCAUGAUCAUGGCUCACUGCAGCCUCAACUUCUUCGGCUCAAGUGAUUCUCCCACCUCAGCCUCCCCAGUACCUGGGACUAUAGGCAUGCAUCACCAUGCCUGGCCAAGUUUUGUAUUUUUUGUAGAGAUGGGGUUUUGCCAUUUUGCCAGGCUAUUCUCGAACUCCUGGGCUCAAGCAAUACACCCACCUUGGCCUCCCAAAG
Molecule: long non-coding RNA, 436 nt
Filed under: Pan troglodytes (chimpanzee)
Lineage: Eukaryota; Metazoa; Chordata; Mammalia; Primates; Hominidae
Description: long non-coding RNA NONPTRT009289
Source: RNAcentral